ACGGAUAUGACGAAAUAGGUAGACGUAUUAGAUUUAGGUCCUAAUGAUAUAAAUUGUUAAUCAUGAGGGUUCGAAUCCCUCUAUCCGUA
RNAcentral lists this transfer RNA (89 nucleotides) under Melanthalia intermedia. RNAcentral describes it as "tRNA-Leu". It matches the Rfam family "tRNA". Rfam says of the family: Transfer RNA (tRNA) molecules are approximately 80 nucleotides in length. Their secondary structure includes four short double-helical elements and three loops (D, anti-codon, and T loops). Lineage: Eukaryota; Rhodophyta; Florideophyceae; Gracilariales; Gracilariaceae. The record is from RNAcentral.